UCAUCACCUGAUGGAAAGUUGAAAGGUGGCUUCUUGCUACCACUUACAGAUGGGCCCGCGGCGCAUUAGCUAGUUGGUGAGGUAACGGCUCACCAAGGCAACGAUGCGUAGCCGACCUGAGAGGGUGAUCGGCCACACUGGGACUGAGACACGGCCCAGACUCCUACGGGAGGCAGCAGUAGGGAAUCUUCCGCAAUGGACGAAAGUCUGACGGAGCAACGCCGCGUGAGUGAUGAAGGUUUUCGGAUCGUAAAGCUCUGUUGUUAGGGAAGAACAAGUGCCGUUCGAAUAGGGCGGCACCUUGACGGUACCUAACCAGAAAGCCCCGGCUAACUACGUGCCAGCAGCCGCGGUAAUACGUAGGGGGCAAGCGUUGUCCGGAAUUAUUGGGCGUAAAGCGCGCGCAGGCGGUCCUUUAAGUCUGAUGUGAAAGCCCACGGCUUAACCGUGGAGGGUCAUUGGAAACUGGAGGACUUGAGUACAGAAGAGGAGAGUGGAAUUCCACGUGUAGCGGUGAAAUGCGUAGAGAUGUGGAGGAACACCAGUGGCGAAGGCGACUCUCUGGUCUGUAACUGACGCUGAGGCGCGAAAGCGUGGGGAGCGAACAGGAUUAGAUACCCUGGUAGUCCACGCCGUAAACGAUGAGUGCUAGGUGUUAGGGGGUUUCCGCCCCUUAGUGCUGAAGUUAACGCAUUAAGCACUCCGCCUGGGGAGUACGGCCGCAAGGCUGAAACUCAAAAGAAUUGACGGGGGCCCGCACAAGCGGUGGAGCAUGUGGUUUAAUUCGACGCAACGCGAAGAACCUUACCAGGUCUUGACAUCCUCUGCAAUCGGUAGAGAUACCGAGUUCCCUUCGGGGACAGAGUGACAGGUGGUGCAUGGUUGUCGUCAGCUCGUGUCGUGAGAUGUUGGGUUAAGUCCCGCAACGAGCGCAACCCUUGAUCUUAGUUGCCAGCAUUUAGUUGGGCACUCUAAGGUGACUGCCGGUGACAAACCGGAAGAAAGGUGGGGAUGACGUCAAAUCAUCAUGCCCCUUAUGACCGGGGCUACCACCGUGCUACAAUGGAUGGAACAAAGGGAAGCAAAACCGCCGAGGUCAAGCAAAUCCCAUAAAACCUUUUCCAGUUCGGAUUGCAGGGUGCAAUCCCCCGGAUGAAACCGAAUCCCUAGAAUACCGGAAACACAUGCCCGCGGAUAAAUUUCCCGGGCCUUGAACAACCA
RNAcentral lists this ribosomal RNA (1221 nucleotides) under Virgibacillus sp. RNAcentral's name for it is "bacterial SSU rRNA". It matches the Rfam family "Bacterial small subunit ribosomal RNA", at positions 183 to 1391 of the family's 1533-position model. Lineage: Bacteria; Bacillati; Bacillota; Bacilli; Caryophanales; Bacillaceae. The record is from RNAcentral.